RNAcentral lists this long non-coding RNA (1183 nucleotides) under Homo sapiens (human). RNAcentral's name for it is "non-protein coding LINC00473:10". Lineage: Eukaryota; Metazoa; Chordata; Mammalia; Primates; Hominidae. The record is from RNAcentral.
UUUGUUUGUACCUGAAAAAGUAUAGAUUGUUAGCUGCCACUUGGGAGCAUGAGCCAUGUGCUGAGCACUCUAUUAAAUACUCACCAGACCAGUCCCAGUGCUGACCAGUCCCAUCGUAUCUCUGACGGUGCAUAUCAGGAUCCGCAUUGAUCAGAUGCCGAAACCAUGGCUUGGAAUGGCUGCGAUGAAGCUGAGCUGCGAUUCAAACCCAGCCUUGCCUUCUCCAGGGACUCACUGUUACCUGUGUCCAGACUGUGGAAGGAUGAUGAGUGUGGAGAAGACAUAUCUGCCCUUCAGUCUUGGCCCAGAAACAAUGCUGAUACCUCCACUGACAUUCCACUGGCAAGAACAGCCCGUGCGCCACACCUGGAAUGGGAAGGAUGGCGAGGAAAUAUCAUUGCUGGUGGGUAGCCACCUCCUAGAACUUCCUUCUCUAGAUGGGCUCACAAAUUCCAGUGUCAGUGAGCCAGUGCUGCCACAGAUAACUAUUCUUUGAAAUAAGGAAUGCCGAAGAGAGCCAGUUCUGUGAGGGAGUAUUGGGAAUUCACACCAUAUCAAGCAAGAGAAAAGAGAGGAAGUAUUUCAGGGGUGCACCACCUAUGCAUGUCAUGUGAUGCCAAAAGCAACCCACCAAUUGGGAUAAAAAACAGUCAGCUGAUCAUUUGACCUUGAAUCCAGAAACACCGAUCAAAGUAAAACACUCACAGCUCGGCAGCCGGCUUGCCGCUUGCUCAUUUUUGCAUCACACAAAUCCAGCCGAGGAAGCAAAGGUUCAAAUCAUGGCAUCUGUUUGCAGAUCUCUGAGAAACAAGGGCUGUGGCCAGAGGAGUGGACGUGCAGUCAGUCAAUAUGGGGUGGGCUUUUCUGAACAAAGAUUCCGAGAAGACCAUGAGCUUGUCAGACAGAAAUCUAAUCUGCAUAUGUGAUCCAUGCAGUCCUAGGUAUAGAUUGCAUAUACAUAUACAAAAUUUGUUUUUAUUCAAUUUGGAAAUAAUUGUUGACCAUGAUUUCCUACAGCUCACACAAAUGAGGUAAGAACAAAGGUGAUCAGUAGUUAAUAAUGGACUGGGACUGUUUGAAAAGCAACUUGGACAAUGGAAUGAAUAAAUAUAUCUGGAUACUCUGACCUCAACCGUGCAUAUCAGAUCAGCUAAUGUCUGUUGGAUAAUUUUAUGUGACGGGC